Molecule: ribosomal RNA, 520 nt
Filed under: uncultured bacterium
Lineage: Bacteria
Description: bacterial SSU rRNA
Rfam family: Bacterial small subunit ribosomal RNA
Source: RNAcentral
UAGUCCACGCCGUAAACGAUGUCUACUAGCCGUUGGGAGACUUGAUUUCUUAGUGGCGCAGCUAACGCAAUAAGUAGACCGCCUGGGGAGUACGGCCGCAAGGUUAAAACUCAAAUGAAUUGACGGGGGCCCGCACAAGCGGUGGAGCAUGUGGUUUAAUUCGAUGCAACGCGAGGAACCUUACCUGGACUUAAAUGUAGAUUGACUUAUUCAGAGAUGGAUAAUUCUUCGGACAAUUUACAAGGUGCUGCAUGGUUGUCGUCAGCUCGUGCCGUGAGGUGUCGGGUUAAGUCCCAUAACGAGCGCAACCCCUGUUGUUAGUUACCAGCACGUAAAGGUGGGGACUCUAACAAGACUGCCGGUGUAAACCGCGAGGAAGGUGGGGAUGACGUCAAAUCAGCACGGCCCUUACGUCCAGGGCUACACACGUGUUACAAUGGCCGGUACAGAGGGCAGCUACAUAGUGAUAUGAUGCGAAUCUCGGAAGCCGGUCUCAGUUCGGAUCGAAGUCUGCAACCCG